This 386-nucleotide long non-coding RNA is filed under the name Salmo salar (Atlantic salmon). Its description in RNAcentral is "lncRNA (ENSSSAG00000107311.1)". The record is from RNAcentral. Lineage: Eukaryota; Metazoa; Chordata; Actinopteri; Salmoniformes; Salmonidae.
GUUGUUAUGGUUCAGUUGGACUGGUUUGAACUGGUGUGAUGAUAACUGUGUUGUUAUGGUUCAGUUGGACUGGUUUGAAGUGGUGUGAUGAUAACUGUAGGUUGUUAUGGUUCAGUUGGACUGGUUUGAACUGGUGUGAUGAUAACUGUAGGUUGUUAUGGUACAGUUGGACUGGUUUGAACUGGUGUGAUGAUAACUGUAGGUUGUUAUGGUUCAGUUGGACUGGUUUGAACUGGUGUGAUGAUAACUGUAGGUUGUUGUUAUGGUUCAGUUGGACUGGUUUGAACUGGUGUGAUGAUAACUGUAGGUUGUUAUGGUUCAGUUGGACUGGUUUGAACUGGUGUGAUGAUAACUGUAGGUUGUUAUGGUUCAGUUGGACUGGUUUG